CUCCAAGCCCCGCUUUGGGGUCCACCACCCAACGAACCCCCACUUUGGGGUCUCCACCCAACGUACCCCAACUUUGGGGUCUCCACCAUCCAAAAAACACCAACUUUGGGGUCUCCAACCCCAAAUUUGGGGUCCACCACCCAACAAACCCCAACUUUGAGGUCCACCACCCAACGUACCCGAACUUUGGGGUCUCCAACCCCCACUUUGGGGCCCACCCCCCAACAAACCCCAACUUUGGGGUCACUACCACCCAAUGAACUCCAACUUUGGGGUCUUCACUACCCAACAAACCCCAACUUUGGGGUCUCCAACCUCAAGUCUGGGGCCCACCACUCAAUGUACCCCAACUUUGGGGUCCACCACUCAACGUACCCCAACUUUGGGGUCUCCAGCUUCAACACUGGGGUCUCCAACCCCCACUUUGGGGCCCACCACCCAACAAACCCCAACACCACCCAACGUACCCCAACUUCGAGGUCCACCACCCCAUGUACCCCAACUCUGGGGCCUACUACCCAAAAAACCCCAACUUUGGGGUCACUACCGCUCAAAGAACUCCAACUUUGGGGUCUCCAACCCCAACCUUGGGGGUCCACCACCCAAUGUACCCCAACUUUGGGGUCUCCAACCCCAACUUUGGAGGUCCGCUACCCAACAACCCCCAACUUCGGGGUCUCCACCACCCAACGUACCCCCACUUUGGGGUCCACCACCCAAUGUACCCCCACUUCAGGCUCUCCACCCCCCAAACUCCCCCCAUCUUCAGGCUCUCCACCCCCCACCCCCCAACUUUGGGGUCUCCAAGUCCCGCUUUGGGGUCCACCACCCAAUGAACCCCAACUUUGGGGUCCACCACCCAAUGAACCCCAACUUUGGGGUCUCCACCAUCCAAAAAACACCAACUUUGGGGUCUCUAACCCGAGCUUUGGGGCCCACCACCCAAUGUACCCCAACUUUGGGGUCUCCACCACCCAAUGUACCCCAACUUUGGGGUCCACCACCCAACGAACCCCAAC
Molecule: long non-coding RNA, 1019 nt
Filed under: Numida meleagris (helmeted guineafowl)
Lineage: Eukaryota; Metazoa; Chordata; Aves; Galliformes; Numididae
Description: lncRNA (ENSNMEG00000002544.1)
Source: RNAcentral